CCUACGGGGGGCAGCAGUCGAGAAUCAUUCACAAUGGGGGAAACCCUGAUGGUGCGACGCCGCGUGGGGGAAUGAAGGUCUUCGGAUUGUAAACCCCUGUCAUGUGGGAGCAAAUUAAAAAGAUAGUACCACAAGAGGAAGAGACGGCUAACUCUGUGCCAGCAGCCGCGGUAAUACAGAGGUCUCAAGCGUUGUUCGGAAUCACUGGGCGUAAAGCGUGCGUAGGCUGUUUCGUAAGUCGUGUGUGAAAGGCGCGGGCUCAACCCGCGGACGGCACAUGAUACUGCGAGACUAGAGUGAUGGAGGGGGAACCGGAAUGCUCGGUGUAGCAGUGAAAUGCGUAGAUAUCGAGAGGAACACUCGUGGCGAAGGCGGGUUCCUGGACAUUAACUGACGCUGAGGCACGAAGGCCAGGGGAGCGAAAGGGAUUAGAUACCCUUGUAGUC
Molecule: ribosomal RNA, 446 nt
Filed under: uncultured bacterium
Lineage: Bacteria
Description: partial 16S ribosomal RNA
Rfam family: Bacterial small subunit ribosomal RNA
Source: RNAcentral